UACGGAGGGUGCAAGCGUUAAUCGGAAUUACUGGGCGUAAAGGGUGCGUAGGUGGUUAAUUAAGUUAUCUGUAAAAUCCCCGGGCUCAACCUGGGCAGGUCAGAUAAUACUGGUUAACUCGAGUAUGGGAGAGGGUAGUGGAAUUUCCGGUGUAGCGGUGAAAUGCGUAGAGAUCGGAAGGAACACCAGUGGCGAAGGCGGCUACCUGGCCCAAUACUGACACUGAGGCACGAAAGCGUGGGGAGCAAACAGGAUUAGAUACCCUGGUAGUCCACGCCGUAAACGAUGUCAACUAGCUGUUGGUUAUAUGAAUAUAAUUAGUGGCGAAGCAAACGCGAUAAGUUGACCGCCUGGGGAGUACGGUCGCAAGAUUAAA
This 376-nucleotide ribosomal RNA is filed under the name uncultured bacterium. Its description in RNAcentral is "bacterial SSU rRNA". It matches the Rfam family "Bacterial small subunit ribosomal RNA", at positions 524 to 898 of the family's 1533-position model. The record is from RNAcentral.